AUGGCUAUGCAACUGGGUCUGAAGAAAAUUCCAGCAUUCAGUUGAAAUCUUAUUAGUUAGUUACUUUUCAUAAUCAAAAGAUUUUCAGAUUGAGGCAGAAAUGUUACUAUUCAGCAGAUGCCACAGCAGCUGUCCAUAAAGGAAACAGCUGGUAUGAGCAAAACAAUGACCAUUGUCUUCUGGAGGUUUUUGUUUCACGUUGAAUCACUGUGGGAACCCACUGUAAUACUGGUAACAGUAAUAAGUUGCAAUAUCUUCAGGCUCCAGGCUGCUGAUGGUGAGAGUGAAAUCUGUCCCAGACCUACUGCCGCUGAACCUCGAUGGGACCCCAGAGGCCAAAUUGGUUGCACCAUAGAUAAGGAGUUUAGGAGCUUGCCCUGGUUUCUGCUGAUACCAGUUUAAGUAUUUGUUAACACUCUGACUGGCCUGACAAGAGAUGGUGACUGUGUCUCCUUCAGAUGCAGGUAAGGAUGGAGGCUGUGUCAACUGGAUGUCACAUCUGGCACCUGAAAUUGUAAAUGUAACAAUACCAUCACAGUUAUUCAUGAUAAAACAAGACCUCCCUGAAACCUCAGGCAACUCUGACCAAGUGAGCUCAGGAAAUUCCUGGUGCUGUCCUUCCUCACCUGGGACCCAGAGCAGCAAGAGGCCCAGAAACGGAGCGGAGACCCUCAUGUCCACGCUGUGUCCUGACUGGGACUGACUCCUGCACAGGAUGACAGCUGCAGCCUAUUAAGA
Molecule: long non-coding RNA, 738 nt
Filed under: Chinchilla lanigera (long-tailed chinchilla)
Lineage: Eukaryota; Metazoa; Chordata; Mammalia; Rodentia; Chinchillidae
Description: lncRNA (ENSCLAG00000028805.1)
Source: RNAcentral